UGGAGAUGGCCGAGGGAUCCCGAGAACGGGCUUGACGGGCGCUGCCAACGCCGACGCAUCACGGCCUGAUACCUA
This is a regulatory RNA element of 75 nucleotides. It matches the Rfam family "Necrovirus cap-independent translation element". The record is from Rfam.